GAUGAACGCUGGCGGCGUGCCUAAUACAUGCAAGUCGAGCGAACGGACGAGAAGCUUGCUUCUCUGAUGUUAGCGGCGGACGGGUGAGUAACACGUGGAUAACCUACCUAUAAGACUGGGAUAACUUCGGGAAACCGGAGCUAAUACCGGAUGAUAUUUUGAACCGCAUGGUUCAAAAGUGAAAUACGGUCUUGCUGUCACUUAUAGAUGGUUCCGCGCUGCAUUAGCUAGUUGGUAAGGUAACGGCUUACCAAGGCAACGAUGCAUAGCCGACCUGAGAGGGGGGUCGGCCACACUGGAACGGAGACACGGUCCAGAGUCCUACGGGAGGCAGCAGUAGGGAAUCUUACGCAAUAGGCGAAAGCCUGACGGAGCAGCGCCGCGUGAGUGAUAAAGGUCUUCGGAUCGUAAAACUCUGUUAUUAGGGAAGAACAUAUGUGUAAGUAACUGUGCACAUCUUGACGGUAACUAAUCAGAAAGCCACGGCUAACUACGUG
RNAcentral lists this ribosomal RNA (497 nucleotides) under uncultured bacterium. RNAcentral describes it as "partial 16S ribosomal RNA". It matches the Rfam family "Bacterial small subunit ribosomal RNA", at positions 28 to 507 of the family's 1533-position model. The record is from RNAcentral.